RNAcentral lists this ribosomal RNA (494 nucleotides) under uncultured bacterium. RNAcentral's name for it is "partial 16S ribosomal RNA". It matches the Rfam family "Bacterial small subunit ribosomal RNA", at positions 28 to 507 of the family's 1533-position model. The record is from RNAcentral.
GACGAACGCUGGCGACGUGCUUAACACAUGCAAGUCGAACGGUGAAGCGCCUUCCUUUUUGGUGGGUGUGGAUGAGUGGCGAACGGGUGAGUAACACGUGAGUAACCUGCCCCCUUCUUCUGGAUAACCGCAUGAAAGUGUGGCUAAUACGGGAUAUUCUGGGUCUGUCGCAUGAUGGGUCUGGGAAAGAUAUUGUUUCGGUUGGGGAUGGGCUCGCGGCCUAUCAGCUUGUUGGUGGGGUGAUGGCCUACCAAGGCGGUGACGGGUAGCCGGCCUGAGAGGGUGGACGGUCACACUGGGACUGAGACACGGCCCAGACUCCUACGGGAGGCAGCAGUGGGGAAUAUUGCACAAUGGGCGCAAGCCUGAUGCAGCGACGCCGCGUGAGGGAUGGAGGCCUGCGGGUUGUGAACCUCUUUCGCCAGUGAAGCAGGCCUGCCUCGUUUGUGGGUGGGUUGACGGUAGCUGGAUAAGAAGCGCCGGCUAACUACGUG